Triticum aestivum (bread wheat) is the source of this 126-nucleotide non-coding RNA. NCBI's taxonomy places the organism in Eukaryota, Viridiplantae, Streptophyta, Magnoliopsida, Poales, Poaceae. The record is from Rfam.
AUACUACUCCCUCUGUCCGGAAAAUUAUGUCCCGAGCUUAUCUCUUAAAUGGAUGUAUCUAGCACUAACUUGGUGCUAGAUACAUUCAUUUCAGGGACAAGCUUUUUCGGACGGAGGAAGUAUCAA